ACGGAAGGCAGCAGUGGGGAAUAUUGGGCAAUGGGCGAAAGCCUGACCCAGCAACGCCGCGUGAAGGAAGAAGGCCUUCGGGUUGUAAACUUCUUUUGUCAGGGACGAAGGACGUGACGGUACCUGACGAAUAAGCAACGGCUAACUACGUGCCAGCAGCCGCGGUAAUACGUAGGUUGCAAGCGUUGUCCGGAUUUACUGGGUGUAAAGGGCGUGUAGGCGGAGCUGCAAGUCAGAUGUGAAAUCCCGGGGCUCAACCCCGGAACUGCAUUUGAAACUGUAGCCCUUGAGUAUCGGAGGGGAAAGUGGAAUUCCUGGUGUAGCGGUGAAAUGCGUAGAUAUCAGGAGGAACACCGGUGGCGAAGGCGACUUUCUGGACUGUAACUGACACUGAGGUACGAAAGCGUGGGGAGCAAACAGGAUUAGAUACCCUGGUA
This is a ribosomal RNA of 437 nucleotides. It matches the Rfam family "Bacterial small subunit ribosomal RNA", at positions 341 to 792 of the family's 1533-position model.